UACGUAGGUGGCUAGCGUUGUCCGGAUUUACUGGGCGUAAAGAGCGCGCAGGCGGUCGUUCAAGUCGAGUGUGAAAGCCCCCGGCUCAACUGGGGAGGUCACUCGAUACUGAUCGACUUGAAGGCGGGAGAGGGAAGCGGAAUUCCCGGUGUAGUGGUGAAAUGCGUAGAUAUCGGGAGGAACACCGAGUGGCGAAGGCGGCUU
Molecule: ribosomal RNA, 204 nt
Filed under: uncultured bacterium
Lineage: Bacteria
Description: partial 16S ribosomal RNA
Rfam family: Bacterial small subunit ribosomal RNA
Source: RNAcentral